UUUCCGCAAUGGGCGAAAGCUGACGGAGCAAUACCGCGUGAGGGAAGACUGCCUAUGGGUUGUAAACCUCUUUUUUCAGGGAGGAAUAAAAUGACGUGUACCUGAAGAAUAAGCAUCGGCUAACUCCGUGCCAGCAGCCGCGGUAAGACGGAGGAUGCAAGUGUUAUCCGGAAUCACUGGGCGUAAAGCGUCUGUAGGUGGUUUAAUAAGUCAACUGUUAAAUCUUGAGGCUCAACUUCAAAAUCGCAGUCGAAACUAUUAGACUAGAGUAUAGUAGGGGUAAAGGGAAUUUCCAGUGGAGCGGUGAAAUGCGUAGAUAUUGGAAAGAACACCGAUGGCGAAAGCACUUUACUGGGCUAUUACUAACACUCAGAGACGAAAGCUAGGGUAGCAAAUGGGAUUAGAUACCCCAGUAGUCCUAGCCGUAAACUAUGGAUACUAGAUGUUGAACAGAUCGACCUGUGCAGUAUCAAAGCUAACGCGUUAAGUAUCCCGCCUGGGAAGUAUGCUCGCAAGAGUG
Molecule: ribosomal RNA, 520 nt
Filed under: uncultured alga
Lineage: Eukaryota
Description: bacterial SSU rRNA
Rfam family: Bacterial small subunit ribosomal RNA
Source: RNAcentral